GGUAGGACCUUUGGUGGAACGUCGGUCAAAGCUAUUUUGGAAUUGGAUUUGAAAUUUGACCGAUCAUCUACUCGAUUUUGGAACAUCCUUUGCUCAAAAUCAGAAGAAGUUCUGUGAGUGGAAGGUGUUCAACUUGAAAAGUUUUACCACUUUUAUAUUGGUCAAGGUUCAAGUUCUUAUAUAAAAUUUGUUUUUAUUUGCUUCACAAAUGAUUCUCAACAGGAGGGAGUUUUAACACUUGGUUCAAAAUCUAAGGUAUUUUUGGACCUUAACUCUCAGAAAUUUGGAGUUAGCUUUGAUUUGCUUCUUAAUCAUCUCGAUGAUUAUUUGAUUUAGGUUCUUAGUUACUC
RNAcentral lists this long non-coding RNA (350 nucleotides) under Setaria viridis. RNAcentral's name for it is "long non-coding RNA (SVIR_LNC001905)". Lineage: Eukaryota; Viridiplantae; Streptophyta; Magnoliopsida; Poales; Poaceae. The record is from RNAcentral.